RNAcentral lists this non-coding RNA (374 nucleotides) under Kumanoa americana. The record is from RNAcentral. Lineage: Eukaryota; Rhodophyta; Florideophyceae; Batrachospermales; Batrachospermaceae.
GGGACUGUUAGGUUUCGACAUGUUAAUUUUGCUUUUUAGAGUUAGAGAAGAUGCUAUAUAUUUAUGAUGAUUUUAUCAUAACUAAAAUAAACAAGCGCAAAAAAUAAUAUAAUACCUUUUUCUCGAAAACUAGUUGUAGUUUAAUUUAUAACAGUACAAUAAUAUUGAUGUUUUGAGCGUCAGAUGCUUAAUCUGUGUGAACAUCUGGUGAUUAUUAAUAACAGUGCUCCUAAUUUAUAUGUUUUUCAUAUUUGGGUAAACUUAGGUCAAGUAAAAAAAUAUAAAUAUUUUUUCUGGCUAUUCUUUAUCUACUUUGUUACAAGUCUCUAGUAAUGUAAUUAACAUGGACGUGGGUUCGAAUCCCACCAGUUCCA